Long non-coding RNA from Sceloporus undulatus (fence lizard), 928 nucleotides. RefSeq lists it as uncharacterized. The transcript has 4 exons. The record is from RefSeq and is a predicted model, not a curated record. NCBI's taxonomy places the organism in Eukaryota, Metazoa, Chordata, Lepidosauria, Squamata, Phrynosomatidae.
CCUUCUCAGUGACUGCUCCCACCCUCUGAAACUCCCUUCCACAGGAGGCUAGAUUGCUUUCCUUUUCCUGGCAGCAAAGAUGUUUUUUAUUCAAGCAGGCUUUUAAUAUGUAAUUAUUGUCAAAGAGGCUUUUAUAUGAGACAAAUACGGUCCUGAGGUAAAUCACACCAUUAUUUCCAUAGAGGCUCAAUAAAAAGGGGGAAAUGAGCAUUCCUUCUCAGAACACUUGCUGGGAUCCAAGACAUUAAAAGAAAACAACUGCCAACAAAUACAAGAGCCAAUGAUAGUCAUCAUAUCACUAAUAAUCACCAGGACAUACCAUCCAUUUAUGAAUUCUAGGCGAUCUGCGCUGCAUACAUGGCGUUUAUAUUUCUCCAAGAAGAAAUUCACAAAUCUCUGUUUUAAGCAUCAGAAUGAAGAGAAUGAUUAGGAACCUUCUCUGGUUCAUUGCUACACAGGACUAAAGUCAGCAUCAGAUGGGCAUCUCUGGUACUGCACUGGAGUGUGCAUAUACCACACAUAAGCAAACAGAGGAUUGCAAUUAAAGAUGGGAAAGAAUUUGGCCUGAAAUUGACUUUUUAAACAAUGCCUCUAAAAUUUUUGGUCAGCGAUACUAUUAAGGAAACUACAUACUAUCUUUAGCCUGUUAUCAAGAGAAGAGUCAGUGUUGUUGCUUUUUCAAAUUGCAUAUAGGUAGAUAUAUACAACUAAAAUGUGUUCAAUUCAUUAAAAAACUGUUUCACAAACAGCACUUUAGUUGAUGAGGGAAACUGUGUUAAAAUGUGUGUUGGGGGAGGAAAUCUGUACUAGAGGCUGACAUCCAACAUAAGGCCAGUAAAGUGUGUGACUGGAGGGAUUGUUUUUCCUCAGUUGUUCAAGCAGUGGUGAGCAUAUUCUCAUAGUUACUAGGCAUGCAACAGUUUGUUCA